RNAcentral lists this ribosomal RNA (845 nucleotides) under Mollisina uncinata. RNAcentral's name for it is "eukaryotic LSU rRNA". It matches the Rfam family "Eukaryotic large subunit ribosomal RNA", at positions 93 to 949 of the family's 3401-position model. Lineage: Eukaryota; Fungi; Ascomycota; Leotiomycetes; Helotiales; Pezizellaceae. The record is from RNAcentral.
GUGAAGCGGUAACAGCUCAAAUUUGAAAUCUGGCUCUUUCAGGGUCCGAGUUGUAAUUUGUAGAAGAUGCUUCGGGUGUGGCUCCGGUCUAAGUUCCUUGGAACAGGACGUCAUAGAGGGUGAGAAUCCCGUAUGUGACUGGCUGCCUCCGCCCAUGUGAAGCUCUUUCGACGAGUCGAGUUGUUUGGGAAUGCAGCUCAAAAUGGGUGGUAAAUUUCAUCUAAAGCUAAAUAUUGGCCAGAGACCGAUAGCGCACAAGUAGAGUGAUCGAAAGAUGAAAAGCACUUUGGAAAGAGAGUUAAACAGUACGUGAAAUUGUUGAAAGGGAAGCGCUUGCAAUCAGACUUGCACGCUGCUGAUCAUCGGAGGUUCUCCUUCGUGCACUCGGUAGCGUUCAGGCCAGCAUCGGUUUGGGUGGUUAGAUAAAGGCCUUGGGAACGUAGCUUCUUUCGGGGAGUGUUAUAGCCCAGGGUGCAAUGUAGCCUACCCGGACCGAGGACCGCGCUUCGGCUAGGAUGCUGGCGUAAUGGUUGUAAGCGACCCGUCUUGAAACACGGACCAAGGAGUCUAACAUCUAUGCGAGUAUUUGGGUGUCAAACCCAUAUGCGUAAUGAAAGUGAACGGAGGUGAGAACCCUUAAGGGUGCAUCAUCGACCGGUCCUGAAGUCUUCGGAUGGAUCUGAGUAAGAGCAUAGCUGUUGGGACCCGAAAGAUGGUGAACUAUGCCUGAAUAGGGUGAAGCCAGAGGAAACUCUGGUGGAGGCUCGCAGCGGUUCUGACGUGCAAAUCGAUCGUCAAAUUUGGGUAUAGGGGCGAAAGACUAAUCGAACCAUUGGGCACUACUA